RNAcentral lists this ribosomal RNA (1298 nucleotides) under metagenome. Its description in RNAcentral is "bacterial LSU rRNA". It matches the Rfam family "Bacterial large subunit ribosomal RNA", at positions 1624 to 2925 of the family's 2925-position model. The record is from RNAcentral.
AAGUUUAUUAUAUGUUGCCCGUACCGUAAACCGACACAGGUGGGUGGGAUGAGUAUUCUAAGGCGCGUGGAAGAACCCUCUUUAAGGAACUCUGCAAAAUAGCACCGUAUCUUCGGUAUAAGGUGUGCCUACUUUGGUAUAGAAACUUGCUUUCAAAAGCUAGAGAGGUUGCAACAAAGAGUCCCUCCCGACUGUUUACCAAAAACACAGCACUUUGCUAACACGUAAGUGGAUGUAUAAGGUGUGACGCCUGCCCGGUGCUCGAAGGUUAAUUGAUGAUGUCAGCGCAAGCGAAGCAUUUGAUCGAAGCCCGAGUAAACGGCGGCCGUAACAAUAACGGUCCUAAGGUAGCGAAAUUCCUUGUCAGUUAAAUACUGACCUGCAUGAAUGGCGUAACGAGAUGGGAGCUGUCUCAAAGAGGGAUCCAGUGAAAUUGUAGUGGAGGUGAAAAUUCCUCCUACCCGCGGAAAGACGGAAAGACCCCGUGCACCUUUACUACAGCUUGACACUGUAGCUUGGAUAUUCAUGUGCAGGAUAGGUGGGAGGCUAUGAUGACUAGACGCAAGUAGAGUCGGAGCCAUCCUUGAGAUACCACCCUUGAAUAUUUGAGUUACUAACUGCGAUGAGUUAUCCUCAUUCAGGACAAUGUCUGGUGGGUAGUUUGACUGGGGCGGUCGCCUCCUAAAUAGUAACGGAGGCUUACAAAGGUUAGUUCAAAGCGGUUGGAAAUCGCUUGUUGAGUAUAAUGGCAUAAACUAGCUUGACUGUGAGACCUACAAGUCGAACAGAGACGAAAGUCGGUCAUAGUGAUCCGGUGGUUCUGCGUGGAAGGGCCAUCGCUCAAAGGAUAAAAGGUACGCCGGGGAUAACAGGCUGAUCUCCCCCAAGAGCUCACAUCGACGGGGAGGUUUGGCACCUCGAUGUCGGCUCAUCGCAUCCUGGGGCUGUAGUCGGUCCCAAGGGUAUGGCUGUUCGCCAUUUAAAGCGGUACGCGAGCUGGGUUCAGAACGUCGUGAGACAGUUCGGUCCCUAUCUUCCGUGGGCGUAGGAAAGUUGAAGAGAUUUGUCCCUAGUACGAGAGGACCGGGAUGAACCAACCACUGGUGUACCAAUUGUUCUGCCAAGAGCAUCGUUGGGUAGCCACGUUGGGAUGUGAUAAGAGCUGAAAGCAUCUAAGCUCGAAGCCAACUCUAAGAUGAACUUUCCCUGAAGUUCCCAGCAAGACUAGCUGGUUGAUAGGCUGGAUGUGUAAUGGGUGUAAGCCCUUUAGCUUACCAGUACUAAUAGAACGUUUGGCU